RNAcentral lists this ribosomal RNA (253 nucleotides) under uncultured bacterium. RNAcentral describes it as "partial 16S ribosomal RNA". It matches the Rfam family "Bacterial small subunit ribosomal RNA", at positions 524 to 776 of the family's 1533-position model. The record is from RNAcentral.
UACGGAGGGGGCGAGUGUUGUUCGGAAUUACUGGGCGUAAAGGGAGCGUAGGCGGGCUGCCAAGUCCGGGGUGAAAUCCUCCAGCUUAACUGGAGAACUGCCUCGGAUACUGGAAGUCUCGAGGAGGGUAGGGGCAAGUGGAACCGUGGGUGGAGCGGUGAAAUGCGUUGAUAUCCAUGGGAACUCCGGUGGCGAAGGCGACUUGCUGGACCCUUUCUGACGCUGAGGCUCGAAAGCCAGGGGAGCAAACGGG